AGAGUUUGAUCAUGGCUCAGGAUGAACGCUGACAGAAUGCUUAACACAUGCAAGUCUUUGGCAAAGCUGUGCUUGCACAGCCAAGCCAAGGCGGACGGGUGAGUAACGCGUAAAGAACUUGCCCCGCAGACAGGGAUAACAGACGGAAACGACUGAUAAAACCUGAUAUAAUUGCCGGUACUGUGCCCGGCAAUGAAAGGAGAUGCUGCGGGAGAGCUUUGCGUCCUAUUAGCUGGUUGGCGGGGUAACGGCCCACCAAGGCGAUGAUAGGUAGCCGGCCUGAGAGGGUGAACGGCCACAAGGGGACUGAGAUACGGCCCUUACUCCUACGGGAGGCAGCAGUGGGGAAUAUUGGACAAUGGGGGCAACCCUGAUCCAGCAAUUCUGUGUGCACGAAGAAGGUUUUCGGAUUGUAAAGCUCUAUCAGCAGGGAAGAAAAUGACGGUACCUGACUAAGAAGCCCCGGCUAACUACGUGCCAGCAGCCGCGGU
RNAcentral lists this ribosomal RNA (491 nucleotides) under Leptotrichia sp. oral clone 19-33. RNAcentral's name for it is "bacterial SSU rRNA". It matches the Rfam family "Bacterial small subunit ribosomal RNA", at positions 8 to 521 of the family's 1533-position model. Lineage: Bacteria; Fusobacteriati; Fusobacteriota; Fusobacteriia; Fusobacteriales; Leptotrichiaceae. The record is from RNAcentral.